GCUGGGCACGGUGGUGUGUGCCUGUAGGCCUAGCUAUUCAGGAGGCUGAGACAGGAGGAUCACUUGAGUCCAACAGUUCUGAGUUGUGGUGUGCUAUACUGAUACGGUGUCUAUACUAAGUUCUACAUCAAUAUGCUGACCUUCUGGGAGUGGAGGACCACCAGGUUACCUAAAGAAGGGUGAACUAGCCCAGGUCAGAAGGAAGUAGGUCAAACUCCCCUGCUGAUCAGUAGUGAGCUUACACUUGUGAAUACUAACUGGACUCCAGUCUAGGCAACACAGUGAGAUCCGGA
This 293-nucleotide signal recognition particle RNA is filed under the name Castor canadensis (American beaver). RNAcentral describes it as "Metazoan signal recognition particle RNA (ENSCCNG00000015694.1)". It matches the Rfam family "Metazoan signal recognition particle RNA". From Rfam's summary of the family: The signal recognition particle (SRP) is a universally conserved ribonucleoprotein. It is involved in the co-translational targeting of proteins to membranes. Lineage: Eukaryota; Metazoa; Chordata; Mammalia; Rodentia; Castoridae. The record is from RNAcentral.